This is a long non-coding RNA of Columba livia (rock pigeon), 17893 nucleotides long. RefSeq lists it as uncharacterized. The record is from RefSeq and is a predicted model, not a curated record. The transcript has 6 exons. NCBI's taxonomy places the organism in Eukaryota, Metazoa, Chordata, Aves, Columbiformes, Columbidae.
GCCCCCCCGUGUCCGCAAGGAUCCAGCCCCUGCAAGGAUCCAGCCCCCCGUGCCCGCAAGGAUCCAGCCCCCACAUCUGUAAGGAUCCAGCCCCUGCAAGGAUCCGGCCCCCCACAUCUGUAAGGAUCCAGCCCCCCCGUGCUCGCAAGGAUCCAGCCCCUGCAAGGAUCCAGCCCCCACAUCUGUAAGGAUCCAGCCCCCCGCAGCAGCAAGGAUGCAACCCCCCACACCUGCAAGGAUCCAGCCCCCGUGUCCAUAAGGAUCCAGCCCCCCACAUCUGUAAGGAUCCAGCCCCUGCGCCCGCAAGGAUCCAGACCCCACAUCUGUAAGGAUCCACGCCCGUGCCUGCAAGGAUCCAGCCCCUGCAAGGAUCCAGCCCCCGCAUCUGUAAGGAUCCAGCCCCCCACAUCUGUAAGGAUCCAGCCCCCGUGCCUGCAAGGAUCCAGCCCCUGCAAGGAUCCAGCCCCCGCAUCUGUAAGGAUCCAGCCCCCCACAUCUGUAAGGAUCCAGCCCCCGUGCCUGCAAGGAUCCAGCCCCUGCAAGGAUCCAGCCCCUGCAAGGAUCCAGCCCCUGCAUCUGUAAGGAUCCAGCCCCCCACGCCCGCAAGGAUCCAGCCCCCCCCAUCUGCAAGGAUCCAGCCCCCGCGCCUGCAAGGAUCCAGCCCCCCACAUCUGUAAGGAUCCAGCCCCCCACAUCUGUAAGGAUCCAGCCCCCGCGCCCACAAGGAUCCAGCCCCCACAUCUGUAAGGAUCCAGCCCCUGUGCCUGCAAGGAUCCAGACCCCACGUCUGUAAGGAUCCACCCCCCCGUGUCCACUGCAUCACUUGCCCAGUGCAAUGCGAAAAGCCUUGAAAUGGAGAAGGAGCAGGGACAAGAAGUGGUGAGACACGGGGAAACUGAGGCACAGCCCGGGGAGGAGUUUCCUGCUAUAACUUGGUAAGAGUCUACGUAUAGCUAGUAAAGGAGCUCACAUUUCUGCUCUGCCAGCCUGGCGAGCCCUUCACACAUGUGAGGUUCUUAUAGCAGCACUUGUAAGGUAUCUUCCAGCCACCACUCAGCACUAACAAACCACAGUGUAUAAAUUACAAAGGGGAAAACAAAAUAACCCCAACACCGAGUUUACAACACCCAUUCAGGUUGAUUUAUGCCCCUCGCUCUCGCAAAGGCCCCAGCAAUUUCCAUUCGGCUCCAAUUUCCUCCUCUCCCACCGUCCUCCUGCCAUUCCCAGGAACAAUGUUAUCACCGGCUCAGCCCUAAUCUGCCAGGCAGACACCGGGGGAGUUUGGCAGAGCCAGCGCUGUGGUGUAAAAUACAUCUACAAAGCAGCACAAAGGGGAAGGAGAUACGGCCGGAGACCCAAGGACACAUUAACAGAGCAGUCGUGUCAGGAGAAAAGGACGAACAGGACGGGCUGGGAGAGCAGAGCGGCGAUUAUAGUCCUGCAAAAACUCAGCGUUGCACCAGGCUCGUGAAAUUCUACCCCUGCAAAGGGCGAAAUCGCAGCAGGAAGCUCAGGAUGGCGAUAAAACCUCUGGGAGAACCCGCUUACAGAUUCUGCACCAUUGGGCCACGAUGCUGCACGCACGGUGGUACCAGACACGGGAUUCCAGGUGUGUUCGUAGGAGAAGCAAAAGUUGCGCUAACAGGUAUCCCAGCGUCCUUUCUCAGAAUAAUAAUAUAUAUAUAUAGUUUAACAAACUCAUAGCAAAGAACAACCGAGUUACCGAGAAGUCCAGAGAGCCAGAAAUCCUUCCUGCAGUUACAACAACGUUACAAGAAGUCAUUUCCAAUUUGAAGCACCUUACUCAGGUGACACAGGGCAGAUCCUUCGCCUUCCCCUGAGCCUUUAUUACCCUUUUAGCGCCACAAUUAAGUUGAAAACCAAAGAGAUCCGACUCCAAGCUGCAAUCAAACAGCAGCCCCCCCUUUUCCAUGGGGUCAAUCUUCUCCGCGCUGGAGCACAGGAGAAGAAUUAGGGUCAGAAGGAGCUUUACUUCUCUGCAUCGGAGUUUGGGAGCGCGUUCAUCUUCAGGUUUGGGGGGAUAUCUGCAGGAAUCAAGAGCCGGUGAGUUCAUUUCUCCAGGCACACGCUGUUUGGCCCCACGUGGCUUCACCCAUCCAGGGUGGCACCUGCACUAACACAGACCUCACAUCACUUUUUGCAACCACAUAACCAUUUAUUAGAAGACCAAACUCAAUUAUCUUCCAACAAUGAUACUAAUGGGAGCGAGUUCUGGAUGAUGAAUGAUUUUCUUUCGCUGAGACCCCUCUCCUGGAAUCCCAGGAAUGUUCAAAACCCUCAGGACGGAGCCGCGUCACCAUCACCCCCCAGCAGACCCCCGCAGAGCCCGCUCGCUCCAAUUAAUACUCCCCAAGCCCCUGGAGACCCCCAGAGCGAGGAGCACAACACCGCGGUUCUCCCGACCCCGAACAGCCGGAGCUCUGGAUGGAAACCGGCGUCAACACCGGCGUUAUAAUGCAGGAAUUCCAAAACACCCACUGCUGCUGAAUCGCCGCCAAGCCCGAGGUGGAGCGGAGCUGUUGUUUGCGAGCCCGCGGCAUCACAAAAUGCUUCCCAACAAAGACACGGGGGAGAAAUCGAUGCCUGCUGCAGCCUUGUCUACAAUAGGGAUCUUCUUUCCCUCCAGCAAGUUCACAACCGUUUACAGUCACAAAGAACAUGGAAAACUCCUCUCCCCCUUUCACCUUUGAGGUUUGGACACUUAGAAUCGAGGCGUUUCCAUCUUGUGGACAACACCUUCGACUGAAGCGGGGAGACCACGGCGACAAAGCCUCACGUUACGUCUUGUCACCUUCGCCUUGGCGGACAAGAUGGGAAAACAGCUGGGGAAGAACAACGGGGAUGUUUCCUCGAAUCCUGGUGGAACAACGUCCCUCCUUCCCCAGGUAACUGUCCUGGAAAUGGGGUUUUGGGGGGUUAAGUCCCUUCUGUGCAGUUGCUGGCUCUCUGAGAUGAAGGCGUUUGUUGUGGAGGGGAGGACGCCGGGGUGUUUUGUUUGGAGCCGGGAUGGUCCAGAGGCCCCUAAUUCACACAGGAAGGAGGAGAUUACGCUACGCAGAGAGCCAAGGAAGCAAAGCUCAGCCCCCCCGCGCCGUAUCGCAUCACGAGGAGCCACGGCGAGGUUCAAACCGCGUCGGGACGCCGCGUUUACCGAGCGCCGCCGGCCUCAUCCUCACCCAAAGACAACCCCAUCCGCUGUUGUCAAUACAAACCAAAACGGGGUGGAAAUUGCCCUUGUUGGGAACCACACGCCGCGGCUCUGAGCUCCUCCAUGGCCGCUCGCGCUUUGGCUUUUAUAGGGAUUACUCCGAAAAAGCCGCUUCCCCCCGCGUCUCCGCUUUGGUUUCGCGCCGGCCGCCUGCAGCUUGGGGCCGGGGAGUCAUAAAGAGCCGUUAACAUGCCUUUCUGCUUAAGUCUCGCAAGCAAAAACAAAACCAACGCAGGAAAAGCCUCCAGCGGCGGGACGAGCAGAUGCGGCACAACUGCAGCUUCAUCUUGCAAAGCACAUCGGCCGCCGACGCGCUUUCUGUCACUGUUGUCAUAGAUCCGGGCCCAUAACGCUCAAGGUUUCCGUUACAAAUUAAACAGUCUUUUCUACUCUUAAUUCGUGAUUUCUGGGGAUGUUUUCCAGCUUCCUAAAGCCUUGAGCUUUUAAGCACAUUUAUAAUAGGGAGAAUAAUUGCUUCGGAUGCUUUCUGCUAUUGCAAACAAGAAAACCUUCUCUCCUUUGAAGAAAAAUACUCCCUUAAUUAAGUUAUUCUUGUAAAGGGCACGGGAAGUCUGAACAUUCAUUUAUUAAAGAGAUUUAGACUGAAAAAUACAACUUGCUUGAAACAAGCCCAUAAGAUACCAAUAAAACCAGGUCCCUGGAUGCCAAAUAUACAAGGCGUGUUGUCUUAGCAAAGCUUGAAUUACAGCUCUACGCAUCUCUUUUUAAAGUAAAUGAUAGGGAAGAGGAGCCAGCGGCCUGAGAGGCUCCCAGCCGCAAGCUGCAGGCCUGGAUGGACAGACAGACAGACAUGCGUGUUGGAUUAAGGACAGAACCGCUUCCUAACUCAGCUCCUUCAGCAAAACCUCCCCAAGCAAAGCGUUUGUUGAAUUGAUGAUUCAUGCGCCUGGUUGACUUUCUCUCCCACCUUCUAUAUGGCAAUAGGUACCACUGCUCUUUAUGUUCACAAAGCCGAGACUAUCACAACAUACACUGGGUGGGGAGAAGCAAACAAAAGCUGUUUGUCCGCAGCAGCGGGGGCUCUCGGCGGGACACGCGGAGCUCGCUUUUCACUACAUCAUCUCAAGAGGAAAAUAAAGCAACAAGGCAAUAAUACCGACCUAUCUUCUGCCCCACAGCUUUGCAGAUGCGUUGACGGUCAAGGUGCGGGGAGGAAGAGUUGGAUUUGACUCUAAACAGCAACGUAUUCAGCCACUCCUGCUGCUAAACCACCCGCUAUAGCGUGAGACAACAAAACAGCUUCGGAAGAUGAAUAAAAGUGUGUUUGGUACAUACUGGUAAGCGCUGGAUUAGCUAAGCGGAGCAUAAAGGCCUAAGCUGAGGGUAAUGGGAACAAAACCUCCCACCCCGAUCCCAGCCGAGGGUUUAAGAGGUGCCAACAGCUCCAUAGCAUCUCAUAUUUUAAGGGGUAAGUUUUAGGAGUAGCAAAGACUCUUUAAUGUUCCACGUUUCGAGAGGCACAGCCUGGUAACCAAACUCAUCUUGCACUCAGAGGGUGGAUCCUGCAAAGCAGAGAAGCCCAAAGAGGCCAGGACUAAAGGCCCAAAAUAGGCCAGGACUAAAGGCCACUCACCUCCCAUGUUCCCCCCAAAGCCUCAAGCCCCCACCAAGCCCUUUGUCCUCCCUUUAUACCCCAGGGAUGCUGCUGUGAAGGCUGAAGAACCGUUAACAGCUCAAAAGGAGCAGCUGUGAAUGAAGCAAUUUCCAGCUCACAAAUGGCCUGAAUUGUCUCUUUUUUCCCCCAGACUCUCUUUCUGGGGGUAAUUUCAAUAAAUAUCAGAGACCUGAGCGUGCCUGGCACCGUUCACUAUAGAACCAUGUUUACUCCAGCCUUCCCUUAUAUGGGAAAUAUAUAAUAAUAUAUAAGAAUAUAUAAUAAUAUAUAAUAAUAAAACACCCCAUAGUUUAUUCACAGAAGUUCUACAGUACAAGAUAAUUUAGGAUUCAAGAAUUCAAAGCAUUCCAUUAACAAAUAUACAUUGCUCCGGAGAUGCAAACCCUCUCGAGCCUGAACUGUACGAAGACUAAGGACAGAUGCUUAGCGUUUCUUCUACAGCUUUACGUUUUGGUCCAGUUUCCUAACAGCCUGGCAAUGACACAAAGGAAACGUGUGGAUUGUUCAACCUGCUUGGGGUAAGCGUCAUGUUUUCGCUUUUAAAUUCAUCGGCGCUUGUUGCACUGCCAGAAAAUGACCCGUUUCAGAAUGUUUUCUAUCCGACGGCCUCUAUUCCAGCUGCCUCCACCUUUCAACCCGUGUUUCCCCGGCUUCUCGUGUCAUUCUCCACGCCGAGAGGGGCACGUUCCCUUUGCUUCGCUUCUCAUCACAGAAUCAAUCCCAGAAUGGACUGGGCUGGAAAAGCCCUCAGAGACCAUCCAGUCCAACCCUUGGUCCAACUCCAGCCCGUUUACCAGAUCACGGCACUAAGCGCCAUGUCCAAUCUCAGCUUAAAACCCUCCAGGGCCGGUGAGUCCAGCACCUCCCUGGGCAGCCAUUCCAAUGCCUGACCACUCUCUGUGAAGAAUUGCUUCCUAAUCUCCAGCCUAAAUUUAAGUUGAAGCCCCCUUGUCCUAUUGCGAAGUGCCUGGGAGAAGAGCCCAAUCCCCCCUGGCUCCGACUUCCCUUCAGGUGGUUCUAGAGAGUGCUGAGCUCACCUCUAAGCCUCUUGUCCAGCCUAACCAAGCCCAGCUCCCUCAGCCUCUCCCCAUGGGUCUUGUGUUCAGUCCCUUCCCCAGUCUUGUUGCUCUUCUCUGGACCCGCUCCAGCACUUCAAUCUCUUUCCUGACCGGAGGGGCCCAGAACUGACCACAACACUCCAGGUGUGGCCUCCCCAAUGCAGAGCACAGGGGAAGCAUCACUGCCCUUGUCCUGCCGACUACGCCGUUUGGAUCCAGGACAGGACACCAUUGGCCUUCUUGGCCACACUGGUGGCUCCUGUUGAGCUUCCUGGCCAUUAGUCCCCCCAGGUCCCUUCCAGCCACUCUGUGCCCAGCCCGGAGCGCUGCAGGGGGUGUUGUGGCCACAGUGCAGGACCCGGCAUCGCUCCCCUGGGUUUGUUCACGAAUAAAACCCAAACCCCAGGUUAACUCCAAGCCCGCCGGCCUGCGUGGGGAAUACAAACAGGUCGCUUUUCUCAUCCUAUCGCUAUUCCUUUGGCCAGCAGACUCAGGAUUUCGGUCGCCUCUCCCUUUCCAUGUCUAUUUUCUGUUCCCCUUGGGGUUUCCCUACAGAUACGUCCCCUGGUUGAUCUCCUCCGCUCUCCCCGCAGCCCCCGCGCUCUCCGGAGGAUUCUCGGAUGGUGCCGAAGCCUCGUCGCCUCUGAACUUGGAGACGAUCCGCGCGGUUUCCUGCGUGAUCUCGAAGCGCUUGAGCUGCUGCCACCCUCCCGAGCGCUGCCGCAGCGCCGCGGUGUCGCUGUCCCCGCUCCCGCUCUCCUCCGGGACACCCAUUGCCACGGACCCACCGGUAGAGCCGCUUUCUGCGCCGGACUCGGUCACCACGUUGGUUAACGCGGUAGCCCUGGGGAUGGCCGCUUUUAUUUUCGCCUGCGGUCGGAUGUAUUUUACAGGUUGCCGGGUGAAAUGGCACCUGGGCUGGGUUGCUGGGACCGCGUCCGAAUCGCCGUCUGUCUUUUCCUGUAGCUCCUCCCGCUCAGAGCCAACGCUUGUGUUCAUGUCUGAACCAAAAAAACAGGCAGUUGUCUUAAAACACUGAGACCAGUUUACUACAGCAAACAAUUUUAGCCAACAACCUCUUUUCCUGUUAGAAAGGACAUUGAAAACCCGCAUUAAUGGUCUAAAACGCCUCCCUCUAACAGCUUAAUGAAUCGCAAGAGGUGUAAGGUAUUAAUCAGGUUUAUAUUGUUAAAGCUGCCCUUGAUGUGUUGAAGCCAGCAGAGGGAAAACCCUUCCUGGGAGCAGCGGAAAACACGCUCGUGCUUCCACGUGGUUGCUGUGCAAAGCAACGAUGCCGAGGAGAACCCAGCUCUGCAAAAAUGGCAUAAAACAACCCAAAGAGCGUCCCCGGAGCAGCGUCGCUUCAUUCACCUAAAGCAUCUGCGCUUGAUGGGAUGUGGGCUCCCUCCAGAGUCAGCUCGUCCACGGCUCCCCUGCAAGACGAGUCGUCAUGGUCGGCGGUUAAACCGCGUUCGGAGGAGAGAUUCUGUUGGGAAAAGUGGUUAUACAAGACUCUUAUUCGACAUGAAGACACUGUCAGCUCCUGCUUUGCCCCAAAUGCUCUUGGAGGAGGGAAAAGCUUGAGCUGAAAUGCCUCGGAUUGUCUGAGAUGGUGUGUAACGCUUGGGGAAGAGGGAGGGAGCUCGCAGAGGGAGAAAUACGGCUUGGGAAGUGCCAAGUGCAGACCCAAACGCCACAGAAUUCACCCCAAAACGCGGUCGUGUGCUGAGAUCGAUUCCCCCUCCCGCUGGAUGCUGAAGUCACCCGUUUCAGAGCAAAAAGGGGAAACAUCAAGCAAACCGUGAUGAGUAAAGGGUGAGUAAAGUGCCCGGGAGUCACAGGUGGGAUGGAGCCGGUGGGAGUUUGCACAAGCAUCAGGUCACCCGGGCACAGGUUGGGUUUAUUAACAGCAAAACGAGAGUUUGCCCAUGGAAACCACUUCACUUUGUCAAGGUUUGUGACACCUCCUAUGGAAUCGGGUCACGCUGCAGAACGUGUGUAAAACAGCUUUGAAAAUAGUCAAAGGAAUAGUUGUAUCUCCAAGUGCCUUCUGCGAAGGUUUAUUGAUCCUGUAGGGAGUGAGUUGUGUCUGCCCUGGUGAUUUGAUUUCAACUCUAAUCACGGUAAUUCUAAUUUCUGCUUCCUCAGUGGACUGGAGCUCUAAGGAAAGCGGCGUUGCGUGCAGCUGUGGAUACGGCCCCUGCGGACACGCGCUCUCGUGUAGAAACACCCGGCUCAAAAGGAGGUGGCAGAGAACCCCCAAACCCAGUUUAACUUUAAGUAAGUCGUUUCUUCUUUCUUGCUCAUCAAACAACUGUAAAAAGGGACAAAAACCCCCACAUAACCCAGCUCUGCCUAUUUGUGUUUUUAAAGUGAAAUAUGGUGAGGAAAGAGCUGUGAAUUUUGGGGAGAAGGCAGAACACGCAGUGACAGGGUCUGUGGCUGCUUGGGGACAGAACCGGGGGUGUCACCACAGCAUCCACUGGCUCUUAAACACAUGUCGCUGCUUCCAAAGCCAUGGAGCUGUUGGCAGAGAGAAACAGCGACAUCCCAAGCAGUUUAGCACGGAGAAACCUACAUGGGAUCUAAACCACACGGAGCAAAACCACCACCCAGCACGGUCCGAGCAGCUGCUGAGCGAUCUGCAGCUUAUCACUGGUUUCUGCUCCUCCCGCUCUACGUGCAACAGGCUCUUGCUCUUUCCCCUGGGAAUAACUCUCUGAGAUCAAACGGGUUUUGUUCUCGGUGAAAUAAGUUCUCUUUAAUUGCUCGUCCACCUUCCCAGCUCUACAGCAGGGUGAGUAAACCCAGCUCGGUGUCUGGGAGCUCUACCUCUAGGCUCGCAUUCUGGGCCAUGUCAGGGCAAUGAGGUCCUUCAUCCUUUGCCAUCGACGCUUCUUGCGAGGGAUUUUCACAGCCGAGGGACAAGGAGGACGGCAGGUCGUCCAUCCCAAACACCCUCUCGUAGUUCUGAAUGAGGAACUCCACAAUCUGGGCUUGGUAGCCGGAGUCGACAAGGCAGGACAUGGAGCCGUCGCUCCCGGAGCCCGGCCGGAGCAGAGUCGGCCCGAACACUAUGCCCAGGUUGUUUGGGGACAUCUUGUUCUCUUCGUAUUUCUCUGCCACCCUGGGGGAGGGAAAUAGGACCAUUAGGGGCUUCUGGUUCUCAAGCUGGAUGGAACGCACCAAAACCCCAUUUUCUGGGAGAGAACCCCCAUCUUUUCUGGACAACAAAGCUCUGCUCUGUGCAGCAAAACUCCCAAGGAAAACCGCAGAAUUUGGCUGGAUCUGUUCAGAGCCGGGUGCAAGGGGCUCCAUUCCUCCUAUACCUUGACCUCUCGCUUUGCGCUUUACGAAGCGUUGUCACUAAGUGCCGUCUGCUCCCUCUCAGUCGUUCAGAAUUGCUGCAGGAUCAUGUUUUACCCUCCUCAUCUGCAUCGUUUUGCUGUCAUGGAAACCCCGACGCUUUCCUCAGGAGGAGAACUCAACAGGGACCUCCAGGAACAACCAGCACGACAACCGCCGCGCUCCUCACCUGUACAAGUGCGCAAUCAGGUGCCGCAGGGUGUUGUAGUUGCUCCCGGGCAAUUUGCUCAGCAAGUCCUUCAUGCUCUGGACGGGAUCGGCGGGGACGCCCGCGCGCUCCGGCUUCUCAUCCCCGGGUUUCUGCAGCUCCUUGGCGAGCGCGAUGAGGUCGUUGUAGAGCUGGGACAGCAGCACCGGUGCCGAAAGCUGCAGCGAAAGGGGAGGGAAAGAGCACGUUGCUUCAUCUCGCUGACGCGGGGAACGCGGCGGGAUGAGGUUUGGCACCCACCUCCUUCAGAAAAUGCUUCAGGACCCCCGUGAUGUCGUGGGGGGAGUGAUCGGAGAGCUCCACCAGGCUCCGGCCGUUCUCGAACGCCUGGCACAGCUUUUCAACCCGCGCUUUGGAGCCGCUUAUCCGAUAGAUCCCCUGUGUGGUCCGGAUGGGAACGGGUCAGGAGUUUGGGAUACGGAGAGGAGAAAACCAAAGCGAGAAUAACCCACUCACCUGCACCCCGAGGGCACGGGCUUCGAUUUCCGAGGUGCAUUUCACCACGAUGAAGGGAACUUCUUCUGGGAAAUCCCGUGGCACCUGCGUGAAGUCGACGCCGAACAGGGGGACUCUGUUGGGCAGCUUCUUGUGGCCGCAGGUGAUGAGCAGGUUCUCCAGGCACUUCUUGUGGCAGGCCAGGCAGCACUGGAACAGCAGCAUUGCCCCAGUUACGGGCUGGUUGUGGUGAACCGGGAGGAUUCCUCCUGUCCCCUCAACCACCAACAUCCCACCAACCCCAAGAGGGUUUUUCCAGGUGAGCAGCUUGACUCAAACACCGAAAAACGCGCUUUUUUGUAAUGCAGAGGGGCAUAGAAAAGCCCAGAACUUUACAGACGUCGCUCCUUUGUGCGGAGGCGACGGUGCGAUGGCGUUUUCCAGCCCUCACCUCCUCGCACUCGAAGCCGCUGACCAUGAAGGUGUCGCACUCCCUGCACUUGGAUGGGCCCCGCAGUUUCCGCAGCCGGUGGGUCUGCGCCGCGCCGGAGAGCAGGACGUUCUUAAACUGCUGCUGGGAUGUACCGUUUUCUGCAGAAACAGCGUUAAAAUGCACCGAUACACGAGCACGGUUACCACCCCGUGGCUCGAAGAAGCGCGUCGCUCACCGCUUUCAAGGGUUUGCAGGGAAUCCCUCUCUUCAAAAUCAUCCGAGGAGGACACGGUGCCGGUGGAUGGAGCUUUCAGCAACCUCCUAUUAGAGUUUCCUUGAGAGGAGAGAAAAUACAAGCUAUUGUUCUCAUCCUCAUGAUGCACAAAGCGGGGCUGCGUAGUUUAUUCCGCCUUUCAGGCGUUGGGGUGAUAUUAGGGAAGAAAUUAUGCGGCUCCCACCUGGGCUGGAACCGGGAGAGUCCAGCGACCGGGAUUCGCAGCUGCCCCCGAGACUUUCGGUGUCGCUGCACAGGGAUUUGUUCACACCUGCGGGAGGUGGAGACACUUACAGACCAUCCCGAGCACCCCCCAACAAAAUCCAUCAAUAUUGUCAAUAUUUUCUCAGCAAAGCCUUAAGAAUUUGAGAACCUCCCCAUUUCGUUGGCUACGAAUCCCGAGACUCGAGAGCAAAUGGCAUCGUGUUGAUGAAAUUCAACCUACUCUGCUCGUCGUUGGCGUGGAGCUGCUUUCUGGGCCGAUCUUCUGGCGCGUUCGUGUCCUUUGCUGCAGGAGAAGCGCCGCUGGAAUGCAGCACCAUCUUCUUUCUACCACUGGGAGGGGACCUGAGAAGAGAUUGCAAAGGAUUUUGUGGCGUUUAAGGAUAACAGACGAUAUCGCAUCGCCAAGGUGCCUUAGGGACAGCUGCGACAAAGCCUCCAUUCCAGGUAGAAGCUUUUGUAACAAACACUUGGGCAAAAGCAGGAAAACAAAUUAGUUCGGUGUGAUUUCACCUCUUCUAUUUGCAGGAAAGAUCUAGAAACCAGCACCCACGUGAGAAGAGAGCGAGCCAAAUCUUCGGCAAAUGACAGAAAGAACCAAAGGGCCAUGGUACGGAAUAGCUGCUGUUCUGAAAUCAGCCACCGCAACGCUGCUGGAGACUUUAUAAGUGUGUUUUAAACCCUUUUGUUGUUCUGUUGUUGUAUAUUCCUGACCUUUCAGCUAGGAUGGAAGUUCUCUGCUCUUUCGUACCUCUGCCCCCCGGGAGCGAGGGGCUCGAACUCAAACACCUCCACGUGAACGUCUUUCUUCUGCAGGGCCUGAAUGAACUCCAGGUACUUCUCGCCCGCUUUGUACGGCUUGCAGACCUCAGACAGGUACUGGUAGCCCAGCGGAAUCUGUUCCGACUGCGUCUGCCGCUGCUUGAACAUCCUCAAAGUGACCUGAUAGGGAAAGAAAUAGAAAAUCAUCAUUGUUAAGCAAAGCCCGGGAGCUUUUUCCCCCAUUGGAUCUUCAGUGUCUUCAGUUUUUCGUUAUCUAAACUCGUUAUCUUGAUAGUUCUACUUAACACGUUGGAUAAAUGUCGCUGUGUCGUUCUCUAGGAUUUUGUCCGCUAGGCUUUUUCGCUGGAUAUGUGUCCUCAAAGCUGUUGUAAUUGAAAAAGUGAUUAUAUAUCUGAGAUUUAUUUGGUAGCAACGUCCAAAGCAGUUCCCUCAUUUCAACCGUUGGUCAGCAAUGGGGCGGUGGAAUCAUGAAGAGCCCGGAGGUCUUAGAGAGGAGAAAUUCGGGAGCUAACACGUACCCACGUCAGCACCUCGUCCCCUUGGUAAAUGAGCUUCCGGACGUGGGAGACGAUCCGCGCUCGCACCUUCUCCAGCUCCUGCCGCCGAAAGUUGGCGUCGCCGAUGCACGUCUUGUACAACGCUUCGGCCUCCUGAACCUGAACCGGAGCCAAAGAGGGAGAAAUGUCACCAGGACGGCAGGAAGAUGCCGUAAGGGGGGACACAAACCCGCCGGUGUGCUGGUUUUGUUAAAAUAAGUUUCUCUUUUAGUGAAUUUGCCUGUCAGCUAAAGCUGCGUUUUCCUGGAGAACCAGACACAUGUUUUGGUAGCCAUAGCAAUGGAAUGCGAGGUUAUUGAUAACGAUUGACGCACAUCCCACGAGAGGGGCAACAAGAAACAGGUGACCAAAAAACUGACCGACGGAGUAUAACAUCCCAUUCACAUUAAUAUUUCAUAUAAAAGUGGGAGAUCACGAGGAUCUCAUCUCUUUUCCCAAUGGCCGACACUAGGAGAGGACCUUGCAAGUUGUCCCUGUGAACUGAGGCCAAGUGACAGAGUGAAUCCAGCUCCGCUUGGCUGCAGAGUCCAGUCCAGGACUUCGGGUGCCUGCCCUGCAGCUGCCGGGACUUUCAAUAUUGCUUUUGUAUACUUUGUAUUAUUUUCUCUAUUUUUAUCAGUAGCAUUAGUAUAACAUCUUUAAUUUUCCCAACUCUCUUCUGUCUGUCUUUCUUUCCCUCCCAUAAUUAGUGGGGAGAUGGGGUUAACAAUACAUCUGCCACGGUUUAUUGUCACCCCAAAUCAAACCUUAACAGCACCAAACGUGUCACCUUGGCUUGUGCCUCCUCGCAGGAUCGACGGCGCUUCUCUAGCUGCUUGUUGGCGCUGCCGGUGUUGGCACCGGCCGCGCUCUGGUGCUCGUCCUCCGCCCUGGCGCUCAGCAGCUUGGCUUUCUCCAGCUCCUCGCAGCGCUGCGCGUACUGCAGGCGCGACUUGCGCAGGGACGCCAAGGAUUCAUUCUCGGGUAGAAAAACAAACAGGUUUGGGGUGGGAAAGAAACAGGUUGAGGUUUGAAAAGACCUUUUGGGAAGCGCGGUGAGGAAAGAGGGUUCAAAUGGAUGUGAUCGUCCCCAAACUAAAGCGGUUUCUCCUUGUUUUCAGAUGGAACCUCCAGUCCCAUCUUUGGGCACCGUGGAGAAGAGUCUGGUCCAUCCUCAUGACCCCCACCCUGAGAUAUUGAUCACAUCGAUAAGGUCCCUCUGGGUUGAACAGACACAACUCUCCCUCCUCAUCAAAAAGAUGCUCCAGGUUCUUCCUCCCCAACCUGUUCUGUUGUCUGGGGUUAUUAUUUAGUACCGCUUGUCCAUAAACAUUUAUUUUGAGUCUUUUGACCUACAACCGGCACAAAGACCAGGCCCAUCUUACCAUCCUCUUUUGCUCCUUUGUCCACUGAUCUUUGAAUUCCUUCCUCCAUUUCUCGAUUUCGUUUUUCUUGGCCGACAGAGGCUGCGGAGGAAGAAGAGUUAAGACAGGAACAGUUCCUUGUGAGGAAAAGCGUCUGGCAGAAUUGUCCAGAAAUACCUGAUAAAACUCCUUCUGCUGCAGCAACCCCACCGUCUCGCCUGCGGAACUGCCCACCUUGAUGUCGUGCUCCAGGACCAGCGUGUAGAGCGCUCGCAGGGGCAUGUUGUGCUGCAGGAACCAAGAAAAGCCAGGUGUGAUAUAACAGGUCUGUGUCGGCGCUGGCAGCAUCACCAAUGAACAUAUCAACCGCCCUGGAUAACGAAGAAGAGCGCAAUUAAAGAAACGAAGGUUGUAGCGACCCAGGAAACCAUCUCUGCACCGUUUCCCUACGCACGUGUUCCCGAUGGAGAUCUCGAUGGCAUCCAGGCUCCGGAAUAUCUCGCUGUACCGCUUCCUACUUUCAGGUGUCCUCUCUUGGUUGUCGAGACCUGGGGAUAGAGAAGAAAUCAGUUCAUGGGAUCAUCCAACCCGGAGAUCGACAGGUGGUAACGUGCACAGAAAAUGGCUCAUUCUCUGUGUGUGUCGCAAUGUUUGUUGUGCAUCCAUCUCAAUAUUACACGCGUUUAUUUAUGGGGAUGAUAUACAUUGAGAAAUGCUGUAUCUUGCGCAAUCCCCGGCGGGUAUAAAUUAUAAUGAUGCAAAAUAUAGAGCGGGUUUGUCCCCACGUGGCUCUGUGAACCCUACACACGCCUUUUACACGUGAUUAUCGAUGCCGUUCGUCUCACUUUCCGCUGUCAUUGAGUCCUGAAACUCAAAUCAACUCAGGCCGGAAGUUGCUGUAAAGAAAAAGGGGAAAGAAAAAUCCAAUUCGAAUCCGAAACUGGUUGCAAUCGGUAAAAACAAAAGAAAACCUCACUCUUCUUUGUCCUUUUGACAUUCCAGGAAACAGGAUGUGGUUGAUUGACCUAAAUCUAGAGUUUCUUCACUGUUUUUGACGGGGCGCACGUUCUUGCAGAUGUUACUCAAGUGAGAAGUCGGUUUGCGUCUUGUUUAGUUCUAGAUGCCCCUGGGCCUUGUUUUGGUCCCGAAAACAUUGAUUUUCUCUCUUUUUCUAGCCGGGUAACUAUAACCUGUACCCAGGUCAACCCGCUCAACAUUUCCCACCCGCCGGGUGACCCGAGACGUGCAAUUCAUCAAACACUUCAUCCCACUUUUUCUAUGAGAGUCGCAAAUUGUUCCUAAUCGGAGCCGUAACAAACAAAUUGGAAUCUUAACCAUCCUUAUUAAUUCAUGUGAGCUUUAAUGUCUCGUUUAGAGCAAGCGAGGGAUUGUACAACAGGAAGACGUGACUCAACCGGAGUGGCGCUGCCGAGGGGCGAAGCGAAACGUCCUUCUUCUGAAAGCAGAACCUCAGCUUCUCACGAGUCUUUUGUUCCGCAUCGCUAAGGCAAUUCCAGAAGAAACAAUCCAGUGUUGGCACUAGACCUGCAUCCCAAAGGAAACCACGAUAUGAUGAACCAGCUGUUGCGUUGAGUUUUGGAUGGACGAGACUCAUCUCAUCGGCAUCAUGGACGUUCUGGAAGGCUCCCCACUCUUCUCCAUGGAGAUGGAGCUCCUGCAAUGGUGGGUGCGCAGAGCCCGGGGGGUGUUUUAGCAGGAGAAGCUCUUGUUGUGCCGUUCAGCAGAAGCAACACUUCCCUUUGAGCCGCGGUUACUGCAAAAUGAGGUAAACGUCGCAAACCCGGCCUCGGCGGGGGCGCCGUGGCUGAAGCUCGGUAGCUGGUAGCGCCUUCCUCUUCUUUGCGCUUGUGUUUCGCAACGCAAUGUCUCCCGUUUCUGCAGAAAAGGACUUGUGCUUCUUAGCAGCGUGUGGGUCAAACCCUCUGCUUGCUGAGCCGCUCGAAGCGAACUGGGCCAAAUAAGCCUGAAAACUCCCAAAUUGUGUGAAAUCCAAGGUAUUCCUCAGCGAGACUCCGGUUACAGCUCAGGCGCUUAGAUCAGCAUCCGGCUGAGGAAUAACAGCGUAAUAAUCAUCCAAAUAUAAUAUAAUCCAGUAGAAUAUAAUCCAAAUCCCUUCACAACCGUUUUGCAAAACCAAGAGCGCAACUUCUGACCUUGGUGGAACAAAAGCUGAAUUUACAAAUCAUCUCGUUUUGAGGAGGUCGGAACAGCUACCAAGCAGCAUCACCCACAACCGAGAGGAAACACCGUGGGGGUCAGGCGUCCUGAAUUAGCUGUAUGUAUUAACGAGGGGGUUAACGAAACGCGCUGUGGGGAGGAGGAGAGUUGCCACUUAAUGGAAACUUUGCACUUCAUUAAAAGGAGGAAGUUUGCGCUCUGCAAAUCUGUCCGACGGCAAAAACCGAGCGCGGGCGCGUUGGUUUGCAAGAGAAGGAUGAGAGGCCGUAAGCGGAAAAGAGGAUCCACGGGUGCGGACCGAAGGGGAUGCGGAGCAGAACCGCUCCAAUUCCAACUGGUUACGCUCACCAUUGAGUUGCCUUUGAGAACAAGGACUUAAAGCAAGUAUUUUCCAACCCCAUAUUAUGUAGCAAGAAGCGCUGCACCCUCUGCCUCUCGAAAAAGGGGGUUUGCGCCCUUUCCUCUUACGCAAGCGCACAAAUGCAUCGAACGACUUCAUCUGUCAGAGGAAGAGACUGAACAGUCGUGUUUUCAAUGCAAACCCCGGUUAGAGGAACUUAAAAGCUAUUUUCUAACACCCAUAUUUCCUCUGUGGCGCACAGGCCUCGGGUAAAUCCUGCCCCGAAAGCUCGCAGGACAAGCAGAAAAGGUUGUUUUAAUGCCACCACGUACCACUCGCUUCUGGGUCGCCCAUGGCCGAAUCGUCAGCGUUUUGCCCCGAAAGCAGCAGAAUCCUGAAUUACCCAGAUCCCGAAUUCAUCGGUCAGACGGGAUGUGAAGAGCUUGUCCGGAGGCCCAUGUGGGUGAAGCCGACCUGCCCCAAAUAACCAGCAGAAAUUCGGCAAGUCGCCGAAUCUGCUUCCUGCAGCCGCGCUUCCGCGGGAGGAAAUCGCAUUCGUUUGGUGUGCGAUUUGCAUAACUCAGAGAUGUGGUAAUUGGUGAAGAAACGAUGGGUUUUGAGUCUCCCGGCCUCGGCGUAGCGGUGAUUUUCUACCCAGGGGGCUUCUCAUCUUCCCAAGAACCACCCGUGUUUCCAAAUGUACCGAGCGAGCCGCUGGAAAACCAGGGUGAGGGAAAAGGGGCGUUGGGUUGAAAUUGGGGCCAGAAGACGGGGAAAAAUGAUCAUUUUGGGCGGGAUGGUGGUUUCUUGCUCUCCCCGUGGGUGGCAGAGUGCAACCCCCCCUCCCUCCUUCAUCAUGGAAGGAGGAGACACGUCUCCCUCUCUCUCUGCUGUUUCAUUUGAUCCCAGAGCCCCUUGGCUGUUAAGAGAGAGAAGGGGGAGCACCGAGGCACCAAGGAGCCGCUGGGCACCCACAACCACUGUGGGGGAUGUUUGGAGGCUUCAGGGGCACCCCCAGCCAGUGUGGGGGUGCAGAGAAGCUUCUGGAACGCCCACAGUCAGAUCUGCUCAGGCUAUAAAAACAGGACUCUCGCCGAGACCCCUUGUGCGGAUCUAUCGGAGCACAAGCGAGAUGCCGCCGAGACCCCCCCGGGAUGGAGACUCCGCUUGCUUUGCCACCACGGGUGUGAGUAAAUUAACCCCCGCAGGAUUACGAGUGUAUCUACUUUCCGUGCACAUUUGCACGCGUACUUUCCGUGUUCAACAUGAGCACGUGUAUAAAUUAAUCCUUGCACAAUCGCGAGUGUAUUUUCCUCCCGUGCUUCCACGCAAGCACGUGUAACCUUCCGUGCACAUUUGCACGUGGAUUUCUCCUUGCACGAUUGCGAGUGUGCACUUUCUGUACUCAAUACGAGUGCGUGUAUCCCUUUAAAAUAACCCCACACCGUGUUCAGGCAAGUGUGGACUCCUCCUGGACUCAGGGACGGCUCCGGUGUUGUUUUGGUGAAGCCAAAAUGUCCUAUAAAUGUUAAUUAAUAAGCGCCAUGCAGAAAGGCAGAGGUGAGCGUCUUAACGAUGGAUCCGUCAUGAGGAUUUUCAUCUCCGAUGGAACUAGAGGUGGAAAAAUGAUGUUUGGAGGAUUAUUCACCUCCUGUGUCCCCCAAGAGUCUCCUGCUCACGCACAGCUCCUUAAUUAGCUUUAUUAAUCGUAAGGAAAGAGUUUCGAACGGAGAAGAAUAUGAUGGUUAAAACCAAAACAAAAUAAAGGUAAGGCUGGUAAAAGUCCACGAUUAAUAAUCAACGACAUAAA